Molecule: small nucleolar RNA, 91 nt
Organism: Cephalotus follicularis
Lineage: Eukaryota; Viridiplantae; Streptophyta; Magnoliopsida; Oxalidales; Cephalotaceae
Rfam family: Small nucleolar RNA SNORD96 family
About the family: snoRNA Z37 is a member of the C/D class of snoRNA which contain the C (UGAUGA) and D (CUGA) box motifs. Z37 acts as a methylation guide for 5.8S ribosomal RNA.
Source: Rfam
UGGCCUGUAAGGAUAUCAUUCACUAAUUAACCAUCUUUCAGGACUGAAUGAAUUUUUUAAUCCAUGCUGUCAUUUUGCAAUUCUGAGGCUA